This 292-nucleotide ribosomal RNA is filed under the name uncultured Acidobacteriota bacterium. RNAcentral's name for it is "uncultured Acidobacteria bacterium partial 16S ribosomal RNA". Lineage: Bacteria; Pseudomonadati; Acidobacteriota. The record is from RNAcentral.
GGACUACCGGGGUAUCUAAUCCUGUUUGCUACCCACGCUUUCGUGUCUCAGUGUCAGUAAUGGUCCAGAAAGCCGUCUACACCGCAGGUGUUCCUCCUGAUAUCUACGCAUUUCACCGCUACACCAGGAAUUCCACUUUCCCAUCCCAUACUCUAGCCUUCCAGUCUUCGACGCACCCUCCCGGUUGAGCCGGGAGAUUUCACAUCAAACUUAGAAAGCCACCUACACACCCUUUACGCCCAGUAACUCCGAACAACGCUUGCUGCCUACGUAUUACCGCGGCUGCUGGCAC